RNAcentral lists this ribosomal RNA (496 nucleotides) under uncultured bacterium. RNAcentral describes it as "partial 16S ribosomal RNA". It matches the Rfam family "Bacterial small subunit ribosomal RNA", at positions 28 to 506 of the family's 1533-position model. The record is from RNAcentral.
GAUGAACGCUGGCGGCGUGCCUAAUACAUGCAAGUCGAGCGAACGGACGAGAAGCUUGCUUCUCUGAUGUUAGCGGCGGACGGGUGAGUAACACGUGGAUAACCUACCUAUAAGACUGGGAUAACUUCGGGAAACCGUAGCUAAUACCGGAUAAUAUUUUGAACCGCAUGGUUCAAAAGUGAAAGACGGUCUUGCUGUCACUUAUAGAUGGAUCCGCGCUGCAUUAGCUAGUUGGUAAGGUAACGGCUUACCAAGGCAACGAUGCAUAGCCGACCUGAGAGGGUGAUCGGCCACACUGGAACUGAGACACGGUCCAGACGCCUACGGGAGGCAGCAGUAGGGAAUCUUCCGCAAUGGGCGAAAGCCUGACGGAGCAACGCCGCGUGAGUGAUGAAGGUCUUCGGAUCGUAAAACUCUGUUAUUAGGGAAGAACAUAUGUGUAAGUAACUGUGCACAUCUUGACGGUACCUAAGCAGAAAGCCACGGCUAACUACGU